ACUGUUGGAGGUAUGCCCUAGAGGCAAUCAUAGAGAUGAUGAUAUUCCAUUUGUAUCCAUGAUUUGUAUAUUGUGUUCAUUGAAUAUCCAUUAAAGGCUACUUAAAUUGAUUUGCAAUUAUGUGAAUUGUAUGUGAAACUCUUUACUUGUAUGGUUAUUCUAAAGUUGUCCCUAGUCGGAGUUCAUGUGAGGACACACAUGAAUAUUAGACUAG
RNAcentral lists this long non-coding RNA (214 nucleotides) under Setaria viridis. Its description in RNAcentral is "long non-coding RNA (SVIR_LNC004507)". Lineage: Eukaryota; Viridiplantae; Streptophyta; Magnoliopsida; Poales; Poaceae. The record is from RNAcentral.